This 854-nucleotide ribosomal RNA is filed under the name uncultured Flavobacteriaceae bacterium. RNAcentral describes it as "bacterial SSU rRNA". It matches the Rfam family "Bacterial small subunit ribosomal RNA", at positions 36 to 882 of the family's 1533-position model. The record is from RNAcentral. Lineage: Bacteria; Pseudomonadati; Bacteroidota; Flavobacteriia; Flavobacteriales; Flavobacteriaceae.
CUAGCGGCAGGCCUAAUACAUGCAAGUCGAACGGUAACAUUGGUGCUUGCACCAGAUGACGAGUGGCGCACGGGUGCGUAACGCGUAUGCAACCUACCUUUUACUAGAGUAUAGCCCAGAGAAAUUUGGAUUAAUCCUCUAUAAUAUCUUUUAAUCUCCUGAUUUUAAGAUUAAAGUUUUAACGGUAAAAGAUGGGCAUGCGUCCUAUUAGUUUGUAGGUGAGGUAACGGCUCACCUAGACUACGAUAGGUAGGGGCCCUGAGAGGGGGAUCCCCCACACUGGUACUGAGACACGGACCAGACUCCUACGGGAGGCAGCAGUAAGGAAUAUUGGACAAUGGACGAAAGUCUGAUCCAGCCAUGCCGCGUGCAGGAUGACAGCCCUACGGGUUGUAAACUGCUUUUAUACAGGAAGAAACACUCCGACGUGUCGGAGCUUGACGGUACUGUAAGAAUAAGGAUCGGCUAACUCCGUGCCAGCAGCCGCGGUAAUACGGAGGAUCCAAGCGUUAUCCGGAAUCAUUGGGUUUAAAGGGUCCGCAGGCUGUUUUUUAAGUCAGAGGUGAAAUCCUGCAGCUCAACUGUAGAACUGCCUUUGAUACUGGAAAACUUGAGUUAUUGUGAAGUGGUUAGAAUGUGUGGUGUAGCGGUGAAAUGCAUAGAUAUCACACAGAAUACCGAUUGCGAAGGCAGAUCACUAACAAUAUACUGACGCUCAUGGACGAAAGCGUGGGGAGCGAACAGGAUUAGAUACCCUGGUAGUCCACGCCGUAAACGAUGGAUACUAGCUGUUCGUCUAACAUUGGUUAGAUGAGUGGCUAAGCGAAAGUGAUAAGUAUCCCACCUGGGGAGUA